AAAGGAAUAGACGGGGGCCCGCACAAGCGGUGGAGCAUGUGGUUUAAUUCGAUGAUACGCGAGGAACCUUACCAGGGCUUAAAUGUAGUCUGACAGGAUUGGAAACAGUCUUUUCUUCGGACAGAUUACAAGGUGCUGCAUGGUUGUCGUCAGCUCGUGCCGUGAGGUGUCAGGUUAAGUCCUAUAACGAGCGCAACCCCUGUUGUUAGUUGCCAGCGAGUCAAGUCGGGAACUCUAACAAGACUGCCGGUGCAAACCGUGAGGAAGGUGGGGAUGACGUCAAAUCAUCACGGCCCUUACGUCCUGGGCCACACACGUGCUACAAUGGCAGGUACAAUGGGCAGCCACUACGCAAGUAGGAGCGAAUCCACAAAACCUGUCUCAGUUCGGAUCGGGGUCUGCAACUCGACCCCGUGAAGCUGGAAUCGCUAGUAAUCGGAUAUCAGCCAUGAUCCGGUGAAUACGUUCCCGGGCCUUGUACACACCGCCCGU
Molecule: ribosomal RNA, 492 nt
Filed under: uncultured bacterium
Lineage: Bacteria
Description: bacterial SSU rRNA
Rfam family: Bacterial small subunit ribosomal RNA
Source: RNAcentral